AGCUACAUUACUUGGGUGAACCUGUGUCUGAGGAAUCCAGGAGGUGUCCUUCAUCCUCAGAAUGGGGGUCUGGGGAAUAUACCAAGAGAAAGAGCAUUUCCUGCUUGUCCCAAGUAGAAACUGUUGUGGUGCAGACUUUUGUGGCUCAGAUAAUGAUGUGAGUUGAUUCCUUGAACUCACUCUUGAACAAGCUGGGGAGAUUUGGUUUCUAUCAGAGAUCAGGCCACAGUGGGAAAAGAGUAAACAUCUUAACAUUGGAAUACUUACUGAAAGAUACACCCAUCCCCAAGGAGAAGUCUCCAACUUGGAGCGCAUCUUUCUUUGCUUGGCAUUUAACAGUAGGAGGACAGACAGGGCAGACUACUUCCUGGAAUCAUUUCCACCCCAAAGGUGACUGAAGACCUCAUUCUAAGCUCAACAGAGUAAACAAGGCUCAAAUGGAGCUCUGGCCUAAUGCAAACGGAGAGAUAAGAUCCAGAGAGCAGCACACUGGGAGGUGCCUGCAAGUCAGUAUCUCUAGGACUAUUGUCCAUUGCCAUUUGCAGAGCCUCUCAGGUGGAGGAAGGACAGAGAAAGCCAUCCCAGAGGGGAACAGAAUCAAUCCCAGCUGCUCAUUAAAAGGCUCCCGUCUCAGUCUGGGCAAGGCUAAAUAAGAAGAACUGUUAGGAAAAUCGGAGGCGAGGACACAAAUGAAUGCUCUACCUUUGGCAUUUAGAUGCGGGUCUGAUCCUGAACCAUGUGUGUCUUCCUGUGUGACAUUUUCAGCGCCGAACUGGAAAAUGAGUCUAAGCACAGAUAUGGUCUAUAAUGAAUCCAUCUGGCCACACAUCAAGUUUUUAAAUAUUUACAAUUAUGGCCCUGGCCUUAUUAAACUUGCAGGAAAACGGCAGCAGCAGGGCUUACAUAUGGGGCUUGAGAAGGCUCCCUUGGCCAGCACCAUGACAGCAGAUGUCUGAAAUUUCUAGAAAAAUAUACACUUGUUUGCCAGAUGCUUGAGACCAGGAAAUGGUAUGAAAACAUCAGGAAAGUGGCU
Long non-coding RNA from Bubalus bubalis (water buffalo), 1033 nucleotides. RefSeq lists it as uncharacterized. Lineage: Eukaryota; Metazoa; Chordata; Mammalia; Artiodactyla; Bovidae. The transcript is spliced from 4 exons. The record is from RefSeq and is a predicted model, not a curated record.